AACGAACGCUGGCGGCAUGCCUAACACAUGCAAGUCGAACGAAGUCUUCGUACUUAGUGGCUCACGCGUGCGUAGCGCGUCGGAAUCUGCCCUUGGGUACGGAAUACCUCAGAGAAAUUUGUGCUAAUACCGUGUAAUGUAUUCGAACCAAAGAUUUAUCGCGCAAGUAUGAGCCGGCGUAAGUUUAGCUAGGUGGGGGGGUAAAAGCCUACCAAGGCGACGCUAGUUAGCUGGUCUGAGAGGAUGAGCCGCCACACUGGGACUGAGACACGGCCCAGACUCCUACGGGAGGCAGGAGAGGGGAAUAUUGGACAAUGGGGGAAAGCCUGAUGCAGCAAUGCCGCGUGAGUGAUGAAGUCCGGAGGGUUGUAAAGCUCUUUUACCAGGGAUGAUAAUGACAGUACCUGGAGAAUAAGCUCCGGCUAACUCCGUG
RNAcentral lists this ribosomal RNA (433 nucleotides) under uncultured bacterium. Its description in RNAcentral is "partial 16S ribosomal RNA". It matches the Rfam family "Bacterial small subunit ribosomal RNA", at positions 29 to 507 of the family's 1533-position model. The record is from RNAcentral.